Molecule: unclassified non-coding RNA, 352 nt
Filed under: Hevea brasiliensis (rubber tree)
Lineage: Eukaryota; Viridiplantae; Streptophyta; Magnoliopsida; Malpighiales; Euphorbiaceae
Source: RNAcentral
GAGCACUAGUAGAAGGCAAUAACCUGUCAGUUAAAUGCUUCAAUGCUGUUUGAAUCUGGAAAGGCUGGAAUAAGGCUUCUUAUUAACCGUGUAUUUAAUGGUCAAUUAUUAUAAGCGAGAAAUGUAGCCUCUUCCGUUAAUGUAAACUUGCUAGCAUAGCCAUCUGACCAUGAUUUUGCAUUUCCAUAUUCCCUGCAAGAAUCUUCAUUCCCUGAUCAGAAUAUCAUUUUUUUUCAUAAUUUUCACCCAAGAAUCUUCCUCGCUCCAAAAGGCAUAUGAAUUUUCAGAAUACUACCUUUGAAGAUCAAAAUAGCGUUGGGCUUUAGAAUUUUUGAAUGGUAAACAAACAGUG